GACGAACGCUGGCGGCGUGCUUAACACAUGCAAGUCGAACGGAAAGGCCCUGCUUUUGUGGGGUGCUCGAGUGGCGAACGGGUGAGUAACACGUGAGUAACCUGUCCUUGACUUUGGGAUAACUUCAGGAAACUGGGGCUAAUACCGGAUAGGAGCUCCUGCUGCAUGGUGGGGGUUGGAAAGUUUCGGCGGUUGGGGAUGGACUCGCGGCGUAUCAGCUUGUUGGUGGGGUAGUGGCUUACCAAGGCUUUGACGGGUAGCCGGCCUGAGAGGGUGACCGGCCACAUUGGGACUGAGAUACGGCCCAGACUCCUACGGGAGGCAGCAGUGGGGAAUAUUGCACAAUGGGCGGAAGCCUGAUGCAGCAACGCCGCGUGCGGGAUGACGGCCUUCGGGUUGUAAACCGCUUUCGCCUGUGACGAAGCGUGAGUGACGGUAAUGGGUAAAGAAGCACCGGCUAACUACGUG
RNAcentral lists this ribosomal RNA (468 nucleotides) under uncultured bacterium. RNAcentral describes it as "partial 16S ribosomal RNA". It matches the Rfam family "Bacterial small subunit ribosomal RNA", at positions 28 to 507 of the family's 1533-position model. The record is from RNAcentral.